GGAUCAUCAUCCUCAGCAGGAGCAGGCAUGCCUGCUGCUACUAGUUUAAGGUUAGAAGAGAGGCUUUCUGAACCGACACAUACACUUUCAUUGAAUACUGUUGAUGUCAAUGCACAUUUUGGGCACAGCUCCAAUGCCAAUGGAUUUCCCCAGAAUCUAAACUUGAAUGCUGAUUUUGUCGGCCAAGGUGAUGAUGCUUGUCAAGUUAUAGGAGACAAUAACAUGUACAAGUC
RNAcentral lists this long non-coding RNA (233 nucleotides) under Linum usitatissimum (flax). Its description in RNAcentral is "long non-coding RNA (LUSI_LNC000387)". Lineage: Eukaryota; Viridiplantae; Streptophyta; Magnoliopsida; Malpighiales; Linaceae. The record is from RNAcentral.